Molecule: ribosomal RNA, 928 nt
Filed under: Microbacterium barkeri
Lineage: Bacteria; Bacillati; Actinomycetota; Actinomycetes; Micrococcales; Microbacteriaceae
Description: bacterial SSU rRNA
Rfam family: Bacterial small subunit ribosomal RNA
Source: RNAcentral
GACGGUACCUGCAGAAAAAGCGCCGGGCUAACUACGUGCCAGCAGCCGCGGUAAUACGUAGGGCGCAAGCGUUAUCCGGGAAUUAUUGGGCGUAAAGAGCUCGUAGGCGGUUUGUCGCGUCUGCUGUGAAAACCCGAGGCUCAACCUCGGGCCUGCAGUGGGUACGGGCAGACUAGAGUGCGGUAGGGGAGAUUGGAAUUCCUGGUGUAGCGGUGGAAUGCGCAGAUAUCAGGAGGAACACCGAUGGCGAAGGCAGAUCUCUGGGCCGUUACUGACGCUGAGGAGCGAAAGGGUGGGGAGCAAACAGGCUUAGAUACCCUGGUAGUCCACCCCGUAAACGUUGGGAACUAGUUGUGGGGGCCUUUCCACGGUCUCCGUGACGCAGCUAACGCAUUAAGUUCCCCGCCUGGGGAGUACGGCCGCAAGGCUAAAACUCAAAGGAAUUGACGGGGACCCGCACAAGCGGCGGAGCAUGCGGAUUAAUUCGAUGCAACGCGAAGAACCUUACCAAGGCUUGACAUACACCGGAAACGUCUGGAAACAGUCGCCCCUUUUUGGUCGGUGUACAGGUGGUGCAUGGUUGUCGUCAGCUCGUGUCGUGAGAUGUUGGGUUAAGUCCCGCAACGAGCGCAACCCUCGUUCUAUGUUGCCAGCACGUUAUGGUGGGAACUCAUGGGAUACUGCCGGGGUCAACUCGGAGGAAGGUGGGGAUGACGUCAAAUCAUCAUGCCCCUUAUGUCUUGGGCUUCACGCAUGCUACAAUGGCCGGUACAAAGGGCUGCAAUACCGUGAGGUGGAGCGAAUCCCAAAAAGCCGGUCCCAGUUCGGAUUGAGGUCUGCAACUCGACCUCAUGAAGUCGGAGUCGCUAGUAAUCGCAGAUCAGCAACGCUGCGGUGAAUACGUUCCCGGGUCUUGUACACACUACCC